Tribolium castaneum (red flour beetle) is the source of this 1102-nucleotide long non-coding RNA. RefSeq lists it as uncharacterized. The transcript has 2 exons. Lineage: Eukaryota; Metazoa; Arthropoda; Insecta; Coleoptera; Tenebrionidae. The record is from RefSeq and is a predicted model, not a curated record.
UUCAUAUUUAGUGGUGGGGGGGCUGUGCUAGAAACCCUCCAUUUUCACUACUGUAGUCUUCCCUGGGAUGUUAGUUCUGGUCAGGCCCCUGAAAGUGUAUACAAAUUAUGUGUUCACUGGGUGGGGUGGGGCAAAGGGGGGAAACGGCUAAAAUAGUUCGUGUGCUCCAGCUUAGAGGUCGCGUCAGUUGCAAAGAAAUCUGUAAAUUUAAAGGAAUCUGUCACACAUUUUGCUAAAAGUAAAGAAGGUUCACUUAAAAAUAAUCGACGUGCGCACACUUCUCUUUUUAAUUCUUUGAUUUAUCAACAGCCGAUUAUUUUGCUGUCGUUGCGGUUUUUGGCGACAUUUUGUUUUAAUGUGUUUUAAAGACUUCAGAAAACGAUUUUUUGGAUGUUUUUGUGAUCAAACAUCUCUACUUUUAUAUGGAUCUUUUAUUUGAAUCUAGUGUAUAGUGUGAAUGACAGUGUUUUAAUGAAGGAUGAAUCAACUUAAGGCAAAUUAAGAUAUUAAUAUAAUCAUAUUACACCAAGAAGGAUCACACAAACUUCUCUAAUAAGGAAAUUUCUUGAUGUUUAGGAGAUGAAGACCGUCCUUGGAGAUGAUAACGGUUUUUGGGAUGUAAUUGAAAAUCCCAUGAAGACGAGUUAAAUAUAAUGUGCAGUAAUUAAUAGGUAUAUCAUAAUAAUAAAUAAAUUUAUUGUAGUUGCGAAGCUAGUAUUUUGUGAAAGCAGGGAGUUUAGGACUUACUAUGGUUCAAGGUUUUCAAAUUCGCCAUGUCCCUCUAUGUCUUAAUCUUUUAUGUUGUUUUACAUAAUGUUAUAACGCCUAUGCCUGUUAAAAAAACAAGGUUUGUCCUUUUUGUGAUUGCUUAAUUUAGAAACUAAGCGAAAAAACGUAUUCUACAAGUAUCAUACAAGUUAAUCAAUAUUAAAGCCUACUAUUAUUAUAAAUUUAAAUGAUUACAUGGUAGUUUUAAUCAGUUAACUUCCAGUUAUAGUUAUGUAUAUCAGAUAUGUGGCUUUUUAUUUAAAAUAAUUUUAGCACACUUGUAAUUCUCUUGUGUUUGAGUAAUUUACUAAUAACUAUGAUGCAAUCGAGAUUA